This 253-nucleotide ribosomal RNA is filed under the name uncultured bacterium. RNAcentral's name for it is "partial 16S ribosomal RNA". It matches the Rfam family "Bacterial small subunit ribosomal RNA", at positions 524 to 776 of the family's 1533-position model. The record is from RNAcentral.
UACGAAGGGGGCUAGCGGUGUUCGGAAUCACUGGGCGGAAAGCGCGUGUAGGUGGGUAUGCAAGCCAGGGGUGAAAGCCCAGAGCUCAACUCUGGAAUUGCCUGUGGAACUGCAUAUCUAGAGUCUUGUAGGGGGUAGUGGAAUUCCUAGUGUAGAGGUGAAAUUCGUAGAUACUAGGAGGAACACCGGUGGCGAAGGCGGCUACCUGGACGAGAACUGACACUGAGACGCGAAAGCGUGGGGAUCAAACAGG